CGUAUUGCAUGAGUGUUGAUUGUGUGUAUAUGUAUGGUUUUCUAGGGUUGGUAUGCACAUAGUAAGAAAGGACUAGUCUUGACAUGGCAAAGUUCGUGGAGGGUUAGGUAUGCAUUUGGAAGCUUUGGGCAACAUAUGAAUUUAUGACUUUGGAGGAUUUGAAAGGUGUCUUGUGGAUGAAAAAAAAGAAUGUGGUUUAGAAGGAUUAAUUGACUUUGGUCAACUGUUUGACCAAAAAGUUAACAGUUGACCAAAAGUCAACCCUAAGUCUUUACAUGUAAGUUUGUGUAUAAUGUUGUAAUUUGGAUUUUUAUAAUGUAAUGGAUGUUUUGGUAAUGAAAUAGACCUUGAAUUGAAAUGAA
Molecule: long non-coding RNA, 362 nt
Filed under: Lathyrus oleraceus (garden pea)
Lineage: Eukaryota; Viridiplantae; Streptophyta; Magnoliopsida; Fabales; Fabaceae
Description: Pisum sativum (pea) long non-coding RNA (PSAT_LNC013157)
Source: RNAcentral